Molecule: unclassified non-coding RNA, 190 nt
Filed under: uncultured Herpotrichiellaceae
Lineage: Eukaryota; Fungi; Ascomycota; Eurotiomycetes; Chaetothyriales; Herpotrichiellaceae
Description: sequence contains ITS2
Source: RNAcentral
UCACCCCUCAAGCCCCUUCUGGCUUGGUGUUGGACGGCCGGCGGCGACCGAGAGGUCCCCGCCCCUCCCAAAGACAAUGACGGCGGCCUCGUUGGACCCCCGGUACACUGAGUUCUUCACGGGACACGUAUCGGAUCAAGGGUGCGCGUGGCACGGUCUGCCUCCCCUUCGUGGGAGAAACUUUUCUCAA